Ruditapes philippinarum (Manila clam) is the source of this 1881-nucleotide long non-coding RNA. RefSeq lists it as uncharacterized. Lineage: Eukaryota; Metazoa; Mollusca; Bivalvia; Venerida; Veneridae. The transcript is spliced from 3 exons. The record is from RefSeq and is a predicted model, not a curated record.
UUCCGGGUCGUUUCGUUUAGAGAUAACGUGCAACAGAGCAUUAAAUUAUGUAUACAUGUAUUUUAAAUAAAUUCUCUGUGUGUAAACACUAAAUAAAACUGAAAUUAAGUGAUCCGUAACAUUGCAUGACAUUACACAAAUAUUAAUUUAUUCAUAUUUUCGUUGUAAAUAUUUCUGGAUAAAUGAACAGGUUGAAAUGAAACUUAAUUCGAUUGGCGUUCAACAUCCAUGAUUCUAAAAUGGUGUACUUAGAUGAUUGCUCGCCGGGCUUUACAAUGCCUUUGAGUUUUGUCUUAAACUGGUUUGUCUUGUUCGUGUUUGUUUUCCUUCUACGAAAGUCUUACAAAGUAAACAGUCUAAGGAAAAACGUCUGGAACGGUGACUAUCAUUGUCUUAAUGAUGAUGAUGAUGAUGAUGAUGAUAUAUAUUAAACGUCUCUGUGAACAAAGAGGUUUGUGUCGAUAUAGAACAUUCCAGCACAGUAGAUUCUAAUUCUGAUGAUAAAAAACAAUGUAAAGAAGGCGAUGUGCUUCAUAUUUGAAAUAUAACUUUCAUUUUAAACUCGGAAACAUUCGGCAUGUUCCGGCAUUUACAGUGCAAGUCAGCGUCAAAAAAUGACAAUGAGAUGUGUUUAUCAACUUACCUUUUUCGUAAUAGAUUGUACCUGCAACCAAUAGUGAUCAGAAAGGACUGUUGAUAGAUGAAUUGAAUAUCUCUUUUUUGAUAAUUACAUAGAUUCUAAAUCCUGUUAUCACCAAUUUGCCUGCAUACAUAAAAAAUAACUUCUUCAGUUUUAUGUGUAAUUUACAAAAAUUGAUUAUAACGUUCUAAAUAUGCAGAAACAUUUAAAGACGUUUGCUACAGUUUUCAAACAGACAUAAUUAACUGUUUAACGGAAUUUAAAUUUAUUGAAAUUACUAGGCCUUAGAAUAUGCUAUAGCAGAAACGUAAUAAGCGAGAAAUGGCGGGGCGCCCUCUUUUAUUUCAGUUAUCUGCCUUUGAAUUUGAUGUACCGGUAUUUGCAUAUUCUAUGAACUUAAAUUCUAUCAAAUAGUUUUAAGUCUCCUAACGGAUAAACAGGAGGAUAGUUUAGGUUUUCCCUCCGUUUCUCUGUCCAUUCGUCCGUCAGUCUUUCCGUCAGUCAACAAAAACUGUAUCCCAUGAUAACGCAAAAAGUGUUGAAAAUAUUUUUUAUGAAACUUGAAAUAUGAGUAGAUUGCAGUCUAUCACUCAAAUUAUAUGUGAGAAUUUCAAUAAUCUAGCUUGACUGUUUAAAGUAUUAUGGCCCUUUUGAACUUAGAUCUAGAAAUUAUUAUUUUUUACUCAAACUUCUUCAUUUCCUAAAGGAUUUACUUCAAACUCCCACAUCAUAAUAAUAAAUUAUGAUAAGUUUCAUAAAUCUAGCGUCCAUAUUUUCAUAAUUAUCUCCCCCUUUAAACUUUAUUUUUCCAUAUUUAUUUAUGGUGUUCAAACCGGUAGGUGCCUUUUGUAUCGCUUGCAAUACUUUGAUAUUUGCUUAUUACAUCUGCUCUGUAUAAAAAUUGUUGCAAGUCUUUAAAACGCAUUUUUAACCAUUCACAAUUGCUCCAAAUGCAGUUUGUUGAUGUAAUUAUUUAGAUGUCGAAGAAGAAUAUUAUUUUACUUGAAUAUAAAAAUGUUAAAACAAAAUCAUUCAAAUUACAAACAGUAAAAUGGAACUUAUGAUUUCAUUACAAAAGUUCUUGUACCCUGAAAAUGAAUAACAACAAACUAGUACUUGUAUUAUAAAACGUAUUAUAUAUUUUUCAUAUAGAACCAAUGAACUGUAUAUAUAAAUAUAUUUAUUAUAUUCUUGUAAAUGAAAUAUUGAGAAAUAUUGAUGAAAUAAAAUGUGUAUUUUCA